Long non-coding RNA from Rhipicephalus sanguineus (brown dog tick), 246 nucleotides. RefSeq lists it as uncharacterized. The record is from RefSeq and is a predicted model, not a curated record. NCBI's taxonomy places the organism in Eukaryota, Metazoa, Arthropoda, Arachnida, Ixodida, Ixodidae. The transcript is spliced from 3 exons.
AAAGUGACAGCCAAACCCGAUUUCUUCGAAGUUUUUCGUCAAAUAAUGACAGCCAAACCCGAUUUCUUCGAAGUUUUUCGUCAAAUAAAUCGCCACGUUUAAGGAAAAAAAAAACAGGUCUCACCGAGAUUUGAACUCGGAUCGCUGGAUUCAGAGUCCAGAGUGCUAACCGUUACACCAUGAGACCGCAUUCUUCCGACGCCGGGAAUCGAACCCGGGCCUCCUGGGUGAGAGCCAGGUAUCCUA